This 460-nucleotide ribosomal RNA is filed under the name uncultured bacterium. Its description in RNAcentral is "partial 16S ribosomal RNA". It matches the Rfam family "Bacterial small subunit ribosomal RNA", at positions 338 to 795 of the family's 1533-position model. The record is from RNAcentral.
CCUACGGGUGGCAGCAGUGAGGAAUAUUGGUCAAUGGGCGGAAGCCUGAACCAGCCAAGUAGCGUGCAGGAUGACGGCCCUACGGGUUGUAAACUGCUUUUAUACGGGAAUAACGCGCCUUAUGUGUAGGGCUUUGCAUGUACCGUAUGAAUAAGGACCGGCUAAUUCCGUGCCAGCAGCCGUGGUAAUACGGAAGAUCCGGGCGUUAUCCGGGUUUAUUGGGUUUAAAGGGAGCGUAGGCCGGAUGUCAAGCUUGCUGUGAAAGGUUGGGGAUCAACCCGGGCCUUGCAGUUGAAACUGGCGUGCUUGAGUCCGCGAGAGGCAGGCGGAAUGCGUGGUGUAGCGGUGAAAUGCUGAGAUAUGACGAAGAACCCCGAUUGCGAAGGCAGCAUGCUGGAGCGUAACUGACGCUGAUGCUCGAAAGCGUGGGUAUCGAACAGGAUUAGAGACCCCAGUAGUC